RNAcentral lists this ribosomal RNA (947 nucleotides) under Streptomyces sp. 110316-21_E01_sample_3-pA. RNAcentral's name for it is "bacterial SSU rRNA". It matches the Rfam family "Bacterial small subunit ribosomal RNA", at positions 35 to 1001 of the family's 1533-position model. Lineage: Bacteria; Bacillati; Actinomycetota; Actinomycetes; Kitasatosporales; Streptomycetaceae. The record is from RNAcentral.
GCNNNGCGGCGUGCUACCAUGCAGUCGACGAUGAACCACUUCGGUGGGGAUUAGUGGCGAACGGGUGAGUAACACGUGGGCAAUCUGCCCUGCACUCUGGGACAAGCCCUGGAAACGGGGUCUAAUACCGGAUACUGAUCCUCGCAGGCAUCUGCGAGGUUCGAAAGCUCCGGCGGUGCAGGAUGAGCCCGCGGCCUAUCAGCUAGUUGGUGAGGUAACGGCUCACCAAGGCGACGACGGGUAGCCGGCCUGAGAGGGCGACCGGCCACACUGGGACUGAGACACGGCCCAGACUCCUACGGGAGGCAGCAGUGGGGAAUAUUGCACAAUGGGCGAAAGCCUGAUGCAGCGACGCCGCGUGAGGGAUGACGGCCUUCGGGUUGUAAACCUCUUUCAGCAGGGAAGAAGCGAAAGUGACGGUACCUGCAGAAGAAGCGCCGGCUAACUACGUGCCAGCAGCCGCGGUAAUACGUAGGGCGCAAGCGUUGUCCGGAAUUAUUGGGCGUAAAGAGCUCGUAGGCGGCUUGUCACGUCGGUUGUGAAAGCCCGGGGCUUAACCCCGGGUCUGCAGUCGAUACGGGCAGGCUAGAGUUCGGUAGGGGAGAUCGGAAUUCCUGGUGUAGCGGUGAAAUGCGCAGAUAUCAGGAGGAACACCGGUGGCGAAGGCGGAUCUCUGGGCCGAUACUGACGCUGAGGAGCGAAAGCGUGGGGAGCGAACAGGAUUAGAUACCCUGGUAGUCCACGCCGUAAACGGUGGGCACUAGGUGUGGGCAACAUUCCACGUUGUCCGUGCCGCAGCUAACGCAUUAAGUGCCCCGCCUGGGGAGUACGGCCGCAAGGCUAAAACUCAAAGGAAUUGACGGGGCCCGCACAAGCGGCGGAGCAUGUGGCUUAAUUCGACGCAACGCGAGAACCUUACCAAGGCUUGACAUACACCGGAAACCCUG